AUACUUACCUGGUGGGAGAGAUAGCAUGAUCAUGAAGGUGGUUCUCUCAGGGUGAGCCUCAUCCAUUGCACUCAGGUCAUUCUGACCCCUGCAAUUUCCCCAAGCACGGGAAAUUUGGCUGUACAGUUUCUGUUGGUAGAGGACUGUGUUCACACUAUCCUCUG
Small nuclear RNA from Leptonychotes weddellii (Weddell seal), 164 nucleotides. RefSeq annotates it as U1 spliceosomal RNA. NCBI's taxonomy places the organism in Eukaryota, Metazoa, Chordata, Mammalia, Carnivora, Phocidae. The record is from RefSeq and is a predicted model, not a curated record.